CCUACGGGCGGCAGCAGUGGGGAAUAUUGCGCAAUGGGGGAAAGCCUGACGCAGCAACGCCGCGUGAGUGAGGAAGUAUCUCGGUAUGUUAAGCUUCUUUAGUGGGGGAGUAGGAAGAGGGUACCCGACCAUCAAGCCCCUGCUAACUACGUGCGAGCAGCCUCGCUCAUUCGUAGGAGCCGAGCGUUAUCCGGAUUUACUGGGUGUAAAGGGAGCGUAGUCGGUUGCGCAAGUCAGAGGUGAAAGUUUGUGGCUAAACCGCGGAACUGCUUUGGAAACUGCGAGGCUGGAGUGCUGGAGAGGUAAGCGGAAUGCGUGGUGUAGCGGUGAAAUGCGUAGAUAUCAGGAGGAACACCGAUGGCGAAGGCGGCUUACUGGACAGUGACUGACGUUGAGGCUCGAAAGCGUGGGGAGCAAACAGGAUUAGAUACCCCUGUAGUC
RNAcentral lists this ribosomal RNA (441 nucleotides) under uncultured bacterium. RNAcentral's name for it is "partial 16S ribosomal RNA". It matches the Rfam family "Bacterial small subunit ribosomal RNA", at positions 338 to 795 of the family's 1533-position model. The record is from RNAcentral.